Molecule: ribosomal RNA, 497 nt
Filed under: uncultured bacterium
Lineage: Bacteria
Description: partial 16S ribosomal RNA
Rfam family: Bacterial small subunit ribosomal RNA
Source: RNAcentral
GAUGAACGCUGGCGGCGUGCCUAAUACAUGCAAGUCGAGCGAACGGACGAGAAGCUUGCUUUUCUGAUGUUAGCGGCGGACGGGUGAGUAACACGUGGAUAACCUACCUAUAAGACUGGGAUAACUUCGGGAAACCGGAGCUAAUACCGGAUAAUAUUUUGAACCGCAUGGUUCAAAAGUGAAAGACGGUCUUGCUGUCACUUAUAGAUGGAUCCGCGCUGCAUUAGCUAGUUGGUAAGGUAACGGCUUGCCAAGGCAACGAUGCAUAGCCGACCUGAGAGGGUGAUCGGCCACACUGGAACUGAGACACGGUCCAGACUCCUACGGGAGGCAGCAGUAGGGAAUCUUCCGCAAUGGGCGAAAGCCUGACGGAGCAACGCCGCGUGAGUGAUGGAGGUCUUCGGAUCGUAAAACUCUGUUAUUAGGGAAGAACAUAUGUGUAAGUAACUGUGCACAUCUUGACGGUACCUAAUCAGAAAGCCACGGCUAACUACGUG